UUUAACAAACUUAAUACUGAUUUCAAACCUUUACAUACAACAAAAAUAGAAACUGAUCUCAAGAAACAUUAUUGCCUUUAAGCAAACAUUCAAGUCUUAACACAUAUAAAUUUUGACAUUACUGCCAUGUCUGCUUUGAUCAAACUAUACAAUACAUCUCAUUCCAAAUUAAUAGUACAAACCACAAUGAGAUAUUUAUACUUCUAUGCUAAACAAUCUACAAUGGCUCUGAACUCCUCCGAUAAUCCGUUUUGGCUUUGAGGUUUGCAGAUAUUGACCAAUUAAUGGCCAGAUCAAUGAACUACAGCCAUAGUUGUCGCAAUAGGAGCCUUCCACAUCAUGACUUUGCUAUUAAAUACUACUUAGCAACAUAUUAGGAAUAUAUUUGAAUCGAACUUCAUGCUAAAACAGUCAGAAAUUAACAGAGUCAAUACAUGCUUUAACGGUCUACUUUCAUACACGUUGUUUGGAGUGACAUAUCAAAUAGGAAUAUAAAUUAACUUAUAUUCCCAUACUACACAAAUAUCCAAUAAACCAAAGCAGAAAUUAGAAAUUUCAUUCAGAUAGGAAUAUGAGCACAUGAGUUUUCAAAUUGACCUAUUCAAGCAGGGCCAAACAAAGAAUAAUAAAUCUCUGAAGUUGGAAGGAAGUGGCAGCAAGAACAAACGCAUCAGUAGAAACAACACAAAACAACUUCAAAACCCACUCCCAAAAUCCAAAGAGAACCUAGAAGCUACUAAAACAAUGUUGAUGAGUUCGAAAUCCCUUUUUCUUUGUUUUUUUUUCUAAAUCUGAUUUUGACUUUCAGAGGAUUUUUGUGAGAAAAAUGAGUGAGGAUGAGGGAAUUUUCAAAGAAUCAGUCUGUCCAGUGAAACAUCAGUGAAGAUGAGUGUGAAUUCUCUGAAAAAUACAAAAAUAAAAAGUGUCCUUGAUAUGCAGAGAAUGAGAGGAUAUAUAAAGAGAAUGUGUCAGCUGAAAAAAUGGGAAAAAGCAUUUUGUUUCUAACAAAUUAUGGGCAGCUGUCCCAUUCAAUGAUUCCUCUCUAUUUUUCACCCUUCCUAUUUUCUGUUUUAUUACAUCCUCACCCGACCUGUCCUUUUUAACCUAAUUUUUACCUUUUUAUUGCUAAAAAGUCCUCCCCUAUUUAUAGAAUCUUCUGAGGCAGUUACAGACUAGAUUCCCUUAAGAUCCUAUUUUCUUUAGCCCCUUAGAUCUCUUGUUAUUUAUAAAUCAAACCUACUUCUUACUCUUAGAGAAUUCUGGGCCUGCCCGUGGCCCAUUGACAGGACUUAGCUUUAGCAGCCCGGACUUUCUCAUUUCCUUGACCCUUAAAUAAAUCAAAUUACCAAUUAACUGACCUAAAUUUAUGCUAGAACAAAUGUGACAUGCCUUAAUUAAUCCUACUAAAUAUAAUCGAUGGAACACAUGGCAAAACAAACAUAUCAACACAAAAUAUUACUAAAUCAAGACUUGAAUUUAAAAGACAACAAUGAAAACAUGACUAUCCUAAACAUGUAGUUGAGCAUCAAACAAGAUUUUGUGACUGAAAUAAUUCGACUUGAACUUGGCAGUGAUAAAAUUGAAGAAAAGGAAAAAAAUAAAGUUAAACCUAAUUAAAUUCUAAUCAACCAAAAACAAAGAGAAAACGAAGAAUGAAAAGAAGAGAUUACCUAAUGAGAUCAAAAGCAAGAAUAGAAGAACGAAGCUCCAUGUGUUUAAGUCUUCAAAACAUCGGAGACUUUAGACCUAUGAGCAUUGCGUUAAACUAAAUCUGAUAGACACUUCAUAAGCCAAAAAUCUUGAAGAAUUGAAGUCUUGAACAUGAGAAAGAAGGCUGGUGGACAAAUACUAAGGUUUUGGGUGGUCAACAAGAAUUUGACCGAGCUUGAAUGGCUAUGAGACGAGGUAGAAACACCCACAAUCUAUGGUACUCAGUGAAUGGGGUUGAUUGGUGCAAUUUUUGAUCUAAAACGGAUUAAAAACCAAAAGAAAUCAGGAAAGGAGAGGAAUAAAGUUUUUGGUAAUUUUAGAUUUGAGAUUCGUCGGCCUUGGUGAGGAUUUUGGGGAAACUAGUGGGAGAUUAGUGAUGGGGGAAAGCUGGGGGUUGUAGGGUGAAGAUUUGGAGUGAUUUGGUGGUGAGCCGCCGGUGGAGGUGGGUUUUGGUGGUGAGAGGCGGCUAGGGUUUGAGAGGGUGUGAGGAAGAUGAAGAAUGGAAAUGUCUCUAGGGUUUGGGGGGCCGGUUCAAACCAUUUUACGGAAUUGGACGAGGAGUUUCUGGCCCUUGGAUCAAAGGAGACGGAGGGUGAAGAUUAGAAGUGACAAAACGGGGUCAUUUUGGUUUAAAGAGGGA
This 2350-nucleotide long non-coding RNA is filed under the name Nicotiana tabacum (common tobacco). RNAcentral's name for it is "long non-coding RNA (NTAB_LNC001368)". The record is from RNAcentral. Lineage: Eukaryota; Viridiplantae; Streptophyta; Magnoliopsida; Solanales; Solanaceae.